AUGCCUUAUGAUAAACCUAUUACUAUUUCAUCAUAACUACCUAAAAAAAUAAUCAAAAAGGAGUUAUGAUAUAAU
This is a non-coding RNA of Parvimonas sp. oral taxon 393, 75 nucleotides long. The record is from Rfam. NCBI's taxonomy places the organism in Bacteria, Bacillati, Bacillota, Tissierellia, Tissierellales, Peptoniphilaceae.